This is a long non-coding RNA of Xenopus laevis (African clawed frog), 458 nucleotides long. RefSeq lists it as uncharacterized. The transcript is spliced from 3 exons. NCBI's taxonomy places the organism in Eukaryota, Metazoa, Chordata, Amphibia, Anura, Pipidae. The record is from RefSeq and is a predicted model, not a curated record.
GGAAGCAAGUUGUCAUGGCAACCAUUGAUGUCAUAAUGGCCAAAUAAACAAAUGAUGUCAUAAUGGCCAAAAAACUAUUAUGUCAUAAUGGCCACAUUAUGACAUCAUAAGAAGCAAAUAUAACUUGUACAACACUUGACACUUGACUUCAUUGCGAAUUAGCUACUGACUGGACGUACAUCUAACAUUCAGUCGGUGCUAAUACGUGAAUUUCUUAUCAAUUUAUCAACUAAUCUAAUCAACGAAAAUGUUUCGAAGAAUUCGUAAAGCUUUUACCAAAUUAUUCAGACGCGGCAGAAAGGAGAAAUAUAACAUCGGUAUUGAUCAGCCUGUGCAGCUUCAUGGAAAACCAGAUGCACCAGUGCAGAAACCUGAGAAACUUCCAGGUGUUUAUUCGAAUUUAUUCGAAUUUGAAAAACCUGAAAAUGAAAAAGAACGGGAAAAAUUUGAAAUGAAAA